Molecule: ribosomal RNA, 433 nt
Filed under: uncultured bacterium
Lineage: Bacteria
Description: partial 16S ribosomal RNA
Rfam family: Bacterial small subunit ribosomal RNA
Source: RNAcentral
AACGAACGCUGGCGGCAGGCUUAACACAUGCAAGUCGAGCGCAUCCUUCGGGGUGAGCGGCAGACGGGUGAGUAACGCGUGGGAAUCUACCUUUUGCUACGGAAUAGCUCCGGGAAACUGGAAUUAAUACCGUAUGUGCCCUUAGGGGGAAAGAUUUAUCGGCAAGAGAUGAGCCCGCGUUGGAUUAGCUAGUUGGUGGGGUAAAGGCCUACCAAGGCGACGAUCCAUAGCUGGUCUGAGAGGAUGAUCAGCCACAUUGGGACUGAGACACGGCCCAAACUCCUACGGGAGGCAGCAGUGGGGAAUAUUGGACAAUGGGCGCAAGCCUGAUCCAGCCAUGCCGCGUGAGUGAUGAAGGCCUUAGGGUUGUAAAGCUCUUUCACCGGAGAAGAUAAUGACGGUAGCCGGAGAAGAAGCCCCGGCUAACUUCGUG